RNAcentral lists this non-coding RNA (28 nucleotides) under Mus musculus (house mouse). The record is from RNAcentral. Lineage: Eukaryota; Metazoa; Chordata; Mammalia; Rodentia; Muridae.
UAGACCUAACAGGACCUCAGAGAAAACA